AUUUAGUGAAGCAGCAUCUGGCAUGCCACCUUGCAUGCCACCCAGCAUGCGCUCAAGAUCUGGGAGAGCAACCCCACCUAAGCCAGCAGGUGGCGGUGCCCUAGUUUCCCCAGCAGCAUUUGACCUAGCAGUGGUAUUAGUUUGGCCAGCUCCAGCUGCAAAAAGUCAAAUCAAGAAAACGAACAAUAAAAACAAAACAUAAUACCAACAAAAACAAUCACUAUUGUAUCGAUCCAAGAAGAAAACAUCAUGAAAUACUCUAAUGCCUAAAUACCGCCUGCUCAAGGCUCCUAACUGUAACAUAGAAUUAGGCAUACAAUAUGGAGGAUGAAAAUUCUUGCAAAUCAAACAUGAGAAGCUUUAUGAGAAUUGAAGAUUUUAUUUGUAGUGUGCAAUGCUUCCCCUGGUGAGUAUAAAUUCAAAACACACAUUUCACAAGUCAUUCACAACCAAUUAUAGCAGCCAAGUACAAAUUCUUGCAGAAGCACAAAAGGAAGAAGAGAAGUCACUGCCUAUUAUAAGAGAUAUCUGAAUUCAUUCAAAGAAGAGGUGAAGCCCAGCGGGGACAAAAAACACAGGGUGGUUUCUUCCCAUCUGUCUAAGCCUAAGCCUUAGCCUUGGUGGGCAGAGUUACCCAGUACAUGUGUUCGUGGGAGUUAGCGAGUAUUUGGUGGAACACUCAAGGUACGUGCAACCUAACCCGGACGCCACCGUAUCCAAAAAAACAAAGAGGCAAAGUAAUUAAGCAUGUCUAAAUCACGCAAAGCUUGUACAAUCAAAGGAUAAGAAAUGAUAUUAGCUUACCGCCAGCAGAAGCCCAAGGAUUAGGAAGUGGAUUAGUAUUUGGAACAGGUGUGUUAGCAGUGGUCUCAGAACCAGUAGUUGGAGGAUUCGUAGACUGGUCUCUGCCUUGCCCCGGCCCCUGGGCUCCCAAAAGAGCUGCAAACGGGUUUGAGCCAACAUCAUUUCUUGCAUCUCCAGCCAUAGUUGUUGCAUUUAGGAAAGGCUCCUGGACAUUUUCAUACAUGCGCCUCAGCAUGUUAAAUCCCUCGGGAGAAGACUCAAUAUUGCUCAUUGCCCUGUCAGUAUUACGCAUCAUCUCACGCAUAAGCUCAGGGUUCCGUGCAGCCUCCAUCGUCUGGCGAAGAGUAGCAGGAUCAUUGAGUACAUGAGCAAGCUCUGGAUUACGAUCCAUGAUCUCUCGCAUUUGAGGAUUGUUCAUGAUCAUGUUACGGAUGAUUUCUGGGUUACUCAUCAUAUUCUGAACGAGAGGCAUGUUCAUGAUGUCUCUCAUCAUGUUGGGGUUUUGAGUCAACUGCUGCUGGACCUGCUCAAAAUCCGGAAGGCCAGCUCCAAAUAAACCACUGCCGCCACCGCCACCACUUCCAAGACCAGGAAACAGUGAAGCCCCAAGGCCCGAUCCAGCAAAUGGUCCACCUACAUUUGGAGCGGCAUC
Molecule: long non-coding RNA, 1456 nt
Filed under: Nicotiana tabacum (common tobacco)
Lineage: Eukaryota; Viridiplantae; Streptophyta; Magnoliopsida; Solanales; Solanaceae
Description: long non-coding RNA (NTAB_LNC009230)
Source: RNAcentral